GGAAGUAAAAGUCGUAACAAGGUUUCCGUAGGUGAACCUGCGGAAGGAUCAUUAUUGAUUGUGAAUCGUUGCCUCCAGUGCUGGCUCUCGCAAGUGCACGGUUGGUGACUUUCAUCCAACACCCUGUGAACCUUUGGCCUCUUGCUAGCUUCGGCUGGCAGAGGAUUUUUACACACACUCGAAUGUAAUGAAAUUAUUGUCGUGCGCAAGCACUUAUGUACAACUUUCAACAACGGAUCUCUUGGCUCUCGCAUCGAUGAAGAACGCAGCGAAAUGCGAUAAGUAAUGUGAAUUGCAGAAUUCAGUGAAUCAUCGAAUCUUUGAACGCACCUUGCACCCUUUGGCAUUCCGAAGGGUAUGCUCGUUUGAGUGUCAUUGUACUCUCACACUUCUGAUCCUUUGGAUUUGGAGCGGUGGACUUGGGUGUUGCCACUUGACGGUGGCUCACCUCUAAUGCAUUAGUGCAACUCCUGGUUGGACCAUAGUACGGCGUGAUAAGUGUCUUCGCCGGCACCUCGUGAGAGGGUGGCCGAUCGAGAGCUCUGUGCUUUCAAACCGUCCUUGCAAGGACAAUGACUGACAACUUGACCUCAAAUCGAGUAGGACUACCCGCUGAACUUAAGCA
RNAcentral lists this ribosomal RNA (625 nucleotides) under uncultured Sebacina. RNAcentral's name for it is "eukaryotic LSU rRNA". The stretch from base 222 to 375 matches the Rfam family "5.8S ribosomal RNA". Lineage: Eukaryota; Fungi; Basidiomycota; Agaricomycetes; Sebacinales; Sebacinaceae. The record is from RNAcentral.